This 444-nucleotide long non-coding RNA is filed under the name Capsicum annuum. Its description in RNAcentral is "long non-coding RNA (CANN_LNC021553)". The record is from RNAcentral. Lineage: Eukaryota; Viridiplantae; Streptophyta; Magnoliopsida; Solanales; Solanaceae.
UUUAUUCUUCAAAAAAAUUUUUUUGGGUUUACGAAUAAAAUGGCAACACAGGCAUUGAUAUCUUCUUCAUCUAUUACCUCCUCAGCAGAGGCUGCCAGACAAAUUCUAGGAGCAAGACAUUUUCAACCAAUCAAGAAGGCUUCAUUCGUUGUAAGGGCUACUGCCACUCCACCUGUUAAGGUAACCACCUUUAUUGUUCCUUUCCAUGUAUAAGUAAGGGGCACAUUGAUACAUCUAGUACAUUGCUCUUCAUAUAUAUAUAAUGAUAGCGCUGUUCGAGUCAGAUUUGCAUUUUGACUAUUCCACCAGAUACUAUCACCCAUGAGAACAAGUACGGUGUACUUAUACCCAACAAAGCUUAUAUAGAUGAGAUGAAGUCACCAUGCACUGUUUGCUUCUGCUGGGGAUUUUCAGCCACUUCGAGGUCGUUUGGUUGGGAAACAA